Molecule: long non-coding RNA, 456 nt
Organism: Macadamia integrifolia
Lineage: Eukaryota; Viridiplantae; Streptophyta; Magnoliopsida; Proteales; Proteaceae
Exons: 2
Source: RefSeq, a predicted model, not a curated record
CCAACCCAUUCCAUACAGAACCUCUCUCUCUCUCUCUCUCUCUCUUUCUUUUUGUUUAAAAGGGUUAGGGUCUCAGCCGCAAUAGCAACGCCAACUACCACAGCCUCCUGACUGUGAGCUACAAUAAUGGCGGCGCUAGUAGUUGAUGCAGAGUACCUCCAACAAAUUGAGAAUGGAAGAUUUCAAUGUGUCUACCAGAAUGGGUUUUCGACCAGUAGUUGAUGCAGAGUACCUCAAACACUCAAUCAUUGCUUGAAGGACGGUGUUUUCAACUUUGGUCAUGUAGAAAACGCUACAUUGUUUGUGGAUUUUAGGUUUAUAAAUAGAAAAAGGGGACUAUUAAUAUUUAUUUAUUGGAUGUUAACAAGAGAAUAAGCAAUCUGUGAUAGGAUUUAGCUCUGGGUUUUGGUGGAAUACCCAUCAAUAAACCCAAUAAAAUACGUUUUUUAGCUGUCA